RNAcentral lists this unclassified non-coding RNA (391 nucleotides) under soil metagenome. Its description in RNAcentral is "partial contains 5.8S ribosomal RNA, internal transcribed spacer 2, and large subunit ribosomal RNA". The stretch from base 1 to 121 matches the Rfam family "5.8S ribosomal RNA", at positions 35 to 154 of the family's 154-position model. The record is from RNAcentral.
GAUGAAGAACGCAGCGAAGUGCGAUAAGUAGUGUGAAUUGCAGAAUUUCGUGAAUCAUCGAAUCUUUGAACGCAAAUUGCACUCUCCGGUUUUCCGGGAGAGUAUGCCUGUUUGAGGGUCAGCCUAAAUAAAUUCGGCUUCGUUGCUGUUGUUUUCGCGGUAACGUUUUUAGUCGGGAUUUGGGUCAUCUUAAACCGAAAGGUUUUUAAGCGACUUAAAAUUUUUUUACGAUCCCACGAACGUUUCUAAGUACUUCUUACACGUUCAGGGUAUCGAAAACCCCUAUUAGGCGUGGCCGUCGUAUCGGAUCGCGUCCAUAAUAUUUAUUCUUUAACUGACCUCAGACAGGUAAGAAUACCCGCUGAACUUAAGCAUAUCAAUAAGCGGAGGA